Long non-coding RNA from Gambusia affinis (western mosquitofish), 1085 nucleotides. RefSeq lists it as uncharacterized. The record is from RefSeq and is a predicted model, not a curated record. The transcript is spliced from 5 exons. Lineage: Eukaryota; Metazoa; Chordata; Actinopteri; Cyprinodontiformes; Poeciliidae.
GUAAAAAAUGUGGUGUUAAUAUUUCAGUGUUAACCUAAUUUAAUCUAAAUAGAGUAUUUUUAACUAUAUGGAGUGUAAAUCGCCUCUGACAUCGGAGUUAAAAGUCAGAGUAAAAUGCUACAUUCACGCAGUGAAACUUUUGACUCUGCCAAGUGUCAAUAACGCGCCACGGUAAAGAUUUUUGGCAACCGCGAAGAGGAGGAAGAGGAAGAAAGAAGACGAAGCACCAGUUUUUUGAAGUUCGUGAGGCGGCUAUUUCCAUUUUGGAUUCUGAACGAACGGAGUUUUGCUACAGAAAAGGGUAGCGGGAGAAAGCCGAGGGAUAGCCCUAUGCUAGACAAGUUGUCCACCUCGAAAUAUUAGCUGUUUUCUUCCGAAGGCUUUCAAGCAGAAAAGUGUCAGAGUGAUGUAUGCUCAGGGGAUCUUUGCCCUAUUUCCCUAUCUGGAGGACCAAAACAUGGAUAUGAGCAUUACUAUGAUCCAGAGAGCGAUUCAGGAUACCUUGCUUGGCGUUUAAAGACUAUUCAAAGAAAAACUGCAGAGGAAAGGGGUGCCUCAGGUAGCAAAUCUCCCAAAAGUGGUGGACCAGGCCAUGGUCAAUCCAGGGUUUUCACUGCUGACAAAGUGCUGUCAGAUGAGGAAGUGGAAGCAGCUAUUGCUGUUUUGAAACACUCUGCUGAUGAUGACACUGUCCGUGAGAAGAUGAAGGCUACCUUCCAUUACCGUCAUUCAAUGGUCAAUGAUGAAAAGAAAGCAGCAGAUGUCUUCUCUGUCUUUCCAAGAUUUCUGGAGACACCAGGACUGGUAAGACAGUUUUAUCUCUUACACUACUAAAAUACUUAGUGGCAACAGUCAUAGGAGUUUGUCCUGUAACUUGUGUAUCACCAGUUUGAACCCCAACUCUUUCUAAAUUGUUAUGUCCUUGGGAAAGACACUUGACCUGCCUUGCCUGCUGGUGGUGUUCAGAAGGCUUGGUGGCACAAGCCCAUGGCAGCAUUGCUUAUGUCAGUCUUCCCUUGUGCAACUGUGGCUACAAUGUAGCUCACCACCAUCAGCAUGUAAAUGACUAAAUGUGGUGUAAAUCA